CCGCUCACAGACGAGCGUUUACUGUUAUAGGAGCUUUGUACUCCCUAAUAGGAGAGUCUGGAGAUGAUUUCAGCUCCCAUGAGGUACACACCGGGAAGCCCUCUGCAGAUAGCUCUACAUCUCAGGAGGAACUACAAAAAUACUGCUAAGGAAAAGGAUGACUGAAAUUCUGUGCCUAGCUUGUUGCCACUGUGACUCAACUUCAGAUAAACAAAAGAAGAUGGCUGGAUGGACAGAAGAACGGAUGGGUUUUUGCUCUAGGACGUUUGGGAGUACAGCCAGUACUUGGUCAUGGCACCACUUGUAUCUGCCUUGGUUAAGAGCAGACAUGUACCCUAAUAAGAUAUGUACCAGGGUCCCUGUAGAACUUGGACAUUAGGUCAUCUCUCAUGCCCCUGCUGUGCAGAUGUGGAAUGGCUCCAGAAGUCAACCCAAGUGUCAAAGAGCCCAAAUGCAGACUCGGAAAAGGACAAUGGGAUCAAACUUAACUGGAUUUUAUUUACUAAACACUAAACACAAAUUGUGGGUGGUGCGUGGAACUCGAACAAGGGUCAGGAAUUGUGUGCGUCAUGGAACUUGCACAAGGGUCUUUUGCCUUCAAGUGGAGGGUGCCUAGGAAAAAGCAAUACUGGGCGGGUGAGUGUCCAGACAGAUGAGAGUGAGUCCAGAAUCCAACCUGAAUGGUCCAGUGAACGGGAAUCCAGUGGCAGGAGGGCAGGCAAGUGAGGAAUGGUGAUCCUGUGAUUAUGAACCAGCGGUUAGCGUUUCCAGAGAUGACCAGAGUCCGGGUGAGUGAAAAGAAGUGCGAAUGAUGAGUAUGGUGAAUCCAAGAAGCUACUAGAAACACAAGGAGAACGGGAUAAGUUAGCAUGAACAAGAGAAAUCACAAGAUGCAAAGGAGGCCUAAUACUAACGUAGAUUAGAAGACGAACUGGUGAAGAAAAGUUGCAUGCGCUGGUCUUAAACACUGUUGGCUGAUUAUCCCGGAUCACAGACAGGUGAGCAUGACAGGCGUGUGGAUGAGGGCUCCGCCCAGAGGUGGAACUCAGAAACGUGGAAAAAAUGCAGCUACUCUCCUGGACCAUGACACCAAGUCACCUUCCUCUUGGGGUGGACCCAUGUUGCCCCGGAGCCCUGGGAGGUAAGCUUGACUGCUCUUUACUCUAUGUUUCUCAUUUCUGCCUCGAUCAUGGUUUUCCUCUUUGUUAAGUUAAGCUUUUCCAGACUUUUGGAAGCAUGUGAUGCCCAGACUUUGUCAUCCUGUACAGGCUGCUAAAAUAAAGUUGGCUAUUAAAGAUUCCUUUUUCUUGGACCAGUGAUUUAGAGUCCUUCCACUCUUGUCCUGAUGUAGUUUUUAACCUACUUCUCUGACCUUGUUGUCUAUUGAAUCUCUGAAGAUGAAGGCAACCCUGCAUUUGUCACUUUGAACUCUGCAAUGAGAGAUGACAGAGUAGUUGUAGUUGCCCAGGUCGGAUGUAGAGCCCGACUGGAGUAAAACUUGGAGCCAGUUUCUUAGGUGCUCAAUGAUCUUUCAUUCCACUCCUUCCACUACUGUAAGUGGGACUUCAUACGCUAUGACCAACCACAUCAACCUUGGAAGCAAGCCUCGUUGGUACAGCCAUGUCUAAAACUUCCCCAGGAGCCCAGAUUUAUCAGUAGUCUUCAACCACCCCUAUGCUUUCUCUUCAGUGUUGUGGAUGUUGCUGCUGUCCCUUAGUCAUCGUCAUCGUAGUCUGUGUUGCCACCUCAUCAAGCUUAGUUAGGACCCAUUUUGAAUGCACAUUGGAAGAUGUUGUGAUUAUAAGGUCAUCCACGAAGUCUUUUAUCGCUGGUUAUCAGAUGCUUCAGUUCUUCACAGAGUCUCUGGUUACAUUUUCCGCUACUGUCAUUAUGAGGUUCAUACCAGGAUGAUAGGAUGGGGGAGACUGCACAACCAGUGACAAUCGUUUUCUCGUGGUGCUGCCACUGGGUGAUGUAGUUUUUGGUCUUGAAGCGUAGCUUGACCCCUCGCAGGUAGCUGCAGAUCAUUCCCUUGAUGCGGUCUGGGAUCUGGUAAUACUUUAUGGCUAUUCUGACGAGAUUGUGAGGAAUGUCUACAAAGUCCAGCCAAGUCCAGCCAGACUACUGUCAGAUUGCUUUUCUUUGACCUGGCUUCAUGUGUCAUCUGGCCUCGGACUCCUCUGUGUUCCAGGCAUCCCGUGAAGCAUGGAAUCCCUUCCUUUUGGAUCAAGGUGUUCACAUAUCCAUUUUCCAUCAUGUAUGGAGUCAUUCUCCUCUCCAAUAUUCAAGGCUGAGCAGGAUAAUGGUUCUAAAUUGGCUUAUGCUUUGUUAGCUGUUUUAUGCUUCCCAUUAACAUAUUUUUGAGUCUCUUUCUUUAAAAAAUUGAGCUUUUCAAAAACAGUAAGGAAGGUUUAUUUCAAAGUGUGAACAAAGUGUGUGGAAACUUAACAAUGUUUAGACAAUGCAUACAUCAUCAUUUUACAGAAAACGUCUUCACAACAUUACAGAAUUUUCCGAGAUGGCGAUAAACUUUGACAUUUAGAGAAAAAGGAAUUGGGGCAGGGAAGUGUUCAUGUGUGUGUGUUGUGUGUGUGUUUGUGGUGGCGGGGGUGGGACGAGGCAUGUUUUUCCUCAAAGACUUUAAGCUAUGUGGUUCAGGUUCAGAUUCAGGAAGUGAAAAUUUAGAGGGUUGUUGGUGUGUGUGUGUGUGGGUGUGUGUGUGUGUGUGUAGUCUGAUUGGUGCUGACAGGGAAGUAUGAGGUGCACAGGGAUGUGGAGGGGGGAUGACUGAGACAUAAAGAGGAAAGAGGAAAAUGAUGAGGAAAUCAAACAGGAUAUAUCGUCUGCACUGCAGAAUCGGACGUUUUUUUCCAUUUGAAAACAUAAAUGUUUGGUUCCAAUUAAAAACGCUGCGAUCGCUGCAGUAAAGUGCUGAGGAGAAACCAAUGUGGUCCAUCCACAAAAACUACUUAUAAACAAGAGUGGGAGUGCAGAAACCCACGGCUAGAAAUACACACUGUUUGCAUUGUAGCAAGGAAUAUUACGGAAACCAGCAGCGUAUGAGAGAAUGGAAGGAGUUAUAUUUCCAGAAGGAUAUAAAAGUAAAACAAACCCAAUACUAAGAGCUUUUAGAAAUUAAACUAAACUCUUAAAUGUAGCUUUCAGUAUGACACCAUUCACCUCUCUUUUGCAGUCAGACACCAAAUAACCAGAACUUUCUUUUUUCUUUUCUUUUUUUUCCGAGGUUAACCUGGAACGACUCCCUUGAAAAUUGAUGUUGGAUCUUUUCCAUGUUUCUGCAGAGUUCUGCUUUCGGUGUCACACAACUGAUUUAAUAUCUGGCUUUUAUAAAUUCACUGUAAUAAAAAUGAAGCCACAAAAGGGUAAAAGGACAGACUACAGCAAUGACUCUCAGUCGUUUUUGUCAGACCCAUGCAUACCCACAGUGCCCAGAUGAGCUCUGGUAACCCUUUCACUGAUUGCCUUUGUUAUAAAUAAUUUUAUACAAUAAAGGCUCCAUUUUUAGGGCCAGUUUGUUAAAAUCUGACCCUGAUACUACAAUAUGAAAGCAUUCUGUGGGUGAUGAAGUCAUUUAUCCAUUGCAUAAAUGGAUAAAUGACAUUAAUUUCCUUUUCAAUUUAUACUUAAUUUUAGCUAUUUAACACUCACAGCUAAUAUAGCCCAUUGGUAUUUACCCUCUACUGUGAAUCCAGAACUUUCAGUUCACUAUUUCUUACUUUUAGGUAUCUGUUUUAACCAUUUACUAACUGGUUAAAAUACAUAACUGAUAAAUGUGAAGUAACAUAUGUGGUUGCUUUUGUUCAUAUUUCUGCUGUCGUGGGUCCUUUAGCUUAGCUCUUAGCAGCAGCCUCAUCGCUGCUCUUUCUUGUUUUAACUUUGUCCCGAUGCUUCUUUCCUUUUGAUUUAAACUUUCGUGGGCUCUUCGUUUCAGUACCAGCUAACUUUUUGAACCUAUUAGCAUUUAACUUAUGUAUUAGAUUAGUUAGGACUUGCAUGGUGGUGCAGAGGUUAGCACUGUUACCUUACAACAAGAAACCUCUGGGUCUGAAUCUGCCAGGAGGCUGGUGUGCCUGAUAUCCCUGUGUUGGUGUUCUCACUGCAUUAUUAUAAUGAUGUCAGUCCAGUAUCAAAAUUGCAACUGACCAAUCACAUUGUUGUGAUCGCAUAACUUUAAAAUAUGGAGAAAAAAAGUAAAACCUUACCUUUGUUAAUAUAAACCUGUCUUCUAGAACAAAUGGUCAGCAUUUCAAGUGUUUUCUUUGUUCAUUUAUAAAAUAUAAUAAACAUAUUAUCAGGUUAGUUUUGCUGUUAGCCAAAUUUAGUUUAUUUAUCUUGGUUUGCUAACUUAGCUAACUUCUUGGCUAAUGCUAACUGAAUGUUAACUAACACAGACAACGUCACUGGUCGGGUGCAAUGCUGAUCAUGAGCCAGCGUUAUUAUGAUCAUGUAGGAACAACACCAACACGAGGAUAUCAGAGCGUGCCUGGGGCUUUUCUGUGUGGAGAGAGGUGUCCAAGGUGUGCAUCUCCUCUCACAGCACUCCUACAAUGCCAGACUUGGUAAGAAAAUGGCUUUCUGUGACCUCUCUGAAACUGCAGUUAUAUCCUGGUAUACAAGAAUCUCUGGUUGGGCGUCACUGGUCUGCAAUCAGCAGCGCCAAUAUUGCACACUGUUUACCACAUUAAGAGGGCUGAUUAGCACAAGGGUUUAAUAAUCUAUUUUGUAACUUGGAGAUGACUUUGUGAAGCUCCGCGUGUUCAGGUGCAGCAUCUUCAAUAAAAGUAGAAAAUGUUUUACUAACAUGAGCAGGUUCCUUUGAGAGGUGUGAAUAUCCAUGACAGAGGAUUUCUCAAAGUAUUUGGAUCUCCUUCUAAGAGGUUUCAGUCAGAUUUAAAGGAAAUCACUAAGUGUAAUAAGAUUAUCUGUUGAUAACUUGGGUUUUAGUCACGCAAAUACAAUUUCUUUGUUAGUGUUUUCGGGGCCACUUAUCUCACCUCUCGCCCUAUGGCAACUGGGAUAGGCUCCAGCACUGCUGUGACCCAGAAUUGGAUUAAUGAAAGCUUUCCAAAUGAUCAUAAAGAACAGAAAAUGCAUAGAUUUCUGCCAAAUAAGAUAACACAGAGUUUGAUGUACAUGAACCGAUCGUGCCUACAUGCGCAGUCGACCAUUAAAGACCCAUCAUCAGCCACAACAAUGAGUGCAAAACAAAAACAUCCAGCUGAGGCUUACAGGAAACGGCUGUUUUUCUAUGAAUUCGCUCAGGGGUGCAUGAAAGCGUGUACCAAUUUCAUGGCAGUGCAUUUCAUUUUUGUGAUUUUCUUUCUGUUAGUUGUUUGUGAAUAACUUACAUAAGCGUCUAUACUUUGCCAACGUGAUGAAAAAAAAGGAAAAUGUAUUAACUUCAUUUAUAAUACAGCUUUAUCUGUAUUUUGGCUGAAUAAUUAACAGUUUUAUCAGGUUAUUUCUUGGAAAAUGGUCAUCAAUCAGGUGAAGAAGAGGGAGUAAGGACAAGCUAUAUUUAAAGCUCUAUGCUUGGUCGGUAUAACUUGCACAACAAAGUAUACAAACAAUCAUUAUAACCUUACAAAAGAUAACAAAUUCACAUCCAUGGUAUUUAAAACACCGCCCAAACCACCUCCUUGAUAAAAUGUAAAAUGUGUGUAAAAUAUAUCCAAAGUAUUUAAAGAAAAUGCUUGCAUUGAUAUUAUAAAAUCAGUAUAAACAGAAAAAAAUUGAUUUGUAAGAUUUCAUACACACUGACGCUGCAUUGUAUAAAAUAUAUGACAACUCGUGUAGAUGUGCAGAUGUGUUCUCAGCUGUGGAAGUGGAAGGUGCAUGCACAGCUUUACUCAUAGUCUUAUAAAGAGUUUAAGCACAAUUUAUAGCGUAAUACACAGGCUAAGAUGAACAUCCAAGGAAUUUUCUUCUGCUUCUUCUUUUUUAUAUGAAGCCCUUUAUCUACAGAACAGCUCCCAUCACAUCUGUUCCCUCGGCAGACAUUCACUGCGGGCCUUGGUUUUAUUCCAAAAAUCUGCGUUCCAAAACAUCUCUGCAGUCCAGAGGAAAAAAAAAAAUCCACAACAGCUUCCCCAAAUGUCAGGGUUUGUCUUUCAAAUUAACGUCUUUGGGAAGAAGCCGUAGCAUUAAGCGAUGCCUCGACCGCUUAUGACAGUUUCACCAUUUAGAAAACAAUCUUGUCCGCACAAAAACAAGUUAGUUCUCUGAUGAGUCUGUUUACUCGUUAAAAAAAAAAAA
Molecule: long non-coding RNA, 6276 nt
Organism: Oreochromis aureus
Lineage: Eukaryota; Metazoa; Chordata; Actinopteri; Cichliformes; Cichlidae
Exons: 2
Source: RefSeq, a predicted model, not a curated record